GGGGAUGUAGCUCAGAGGUAGAGUGCUUGCCUAGUAUGUAAGAGGCCCUGGGUUCAAUUCCCAGCACUAUUU
Non-coding RNA from Ictidomys tridecemlineatus (thirteen-lined ground squirrel), 72 nucleotides. The record is from Rfam. NCBI's taxonomy places the organism in Eukaryota, Metazoa, Chordata, Mammalia, Rodentia, Sciuridae.